Molecule: ribosomal RNA, 354 nt
Filed under: uncultured Desulfovibrio sp.
Lineage: Bacteria; Pseudomonadati; Thermodesulfobacteriota; Desulfovibrionia; Desulfovibrionales; Desulfovibrionaceae
Description: bacterial SSU rRNA
Rfam family: Bacterial small subunit ribosomal RNA
Source: RNAcentral
CCCGGUGACAGGUGCUGGCAUGGCUGUCGUCAGCUCGUGUCGUGAGAUGUUGGGUUAAGUCCCGCAACGAGCGCAACCCUCGCCUUUAGUUGCCAGCAUUCAGUUGGGCACUCUAGAGGGACUGCCGGUGUCAAACCGGAGGAAGUGGGGAUGACGUCAAGUCCUCAUGGCCUUUAUGUCUAGGGCUACACACGUACUACAAUGGCCGGUACAAAGGGCAGCCACUCAGCGAUGAGGCGCUAAUCCCAUAAAGCCGGUCUCAGUCCGGAUCGCAGUCUGCAACUCGACUCCAUGAAGUUGGAAUCGCUAGUAAUCGCGGAUCAGUACGCCGCGGUGAAUACGUUCCCGGGCCUU